This 675-nucleotide ribosomal RNA is filed under the name uncultured beta proteobacterium. Its description in RNAcentral is "bacterial SSU rRNA". It matches the Rfam family "Bacterial small subunit ribosomal RNA", at positions 50 to 723 of the family's 1533-position model. Lineage: Bacteria; Pseudomonadati; Pseudomonadota; Betaproteobacteria. The record is from RNAcentral.
UACACAUGCAAGUCGAACGGUAACAGGUCUUCGGAUGCUGACGAGUGGCGAACGGGUGAGUAAUACAUCGGAACGUGCCCGAUCGUGGGGGAUAACGAAGCGAAAGCUUUGCUAAUACCGCAUAAGAUCUACGGAUGAAAGCAGGGGACCGCAAGGCCUUGCGCGAACGGAGUGGCCGAUGGCAGAUUAGGUAGUUGGUGGGAUAAAAGCUUACCAAGCCGACGAUCUGUAGCUGGUCUGAGAGGACGACCAGCCACACUGGGACUGAGACACGGCCCAGACUCCUACGGGAGGCAGCAGUGGGGAAUUUUGGACAAUGGGCGAAAGCCUGAUCCAGCCAUGCCGCGUGCAGGAUGAAGGCCUUCGGGUUGUAAACUGCUUUUGUACGGAACGAAAAGACUCUGGUUAAUACCUGGGGUCCAUGACGGUACCGUAAGAAUAAGCACCGGCUAACUACGUGCCAGCAGCCGCGGUAGUACGUAGGGUGCAAGCGUUAAUCGGAAUUACUGGGCGUAAAGCGUGCGCAGGCGGUUAUAUAAGACAGAUGUGAAUCCCCGGGCUCAACCUGGGAACUGCAUUUGUGACUGUAUAGCUAGAGUACGGCAGAGGGGGAUGGAAUUCCGCGUGUAGCAGUGAAAUGCGUAGAUAUGCGGAGGAACACCGAUGGCGAAGGCA